GACGGAGGGUGCUAGCGUUGUUCGGAAUGACUGGGCGUAAAGGGCGCGUAGGCGGCCGAUCAAGUCGGGUGUGAAAGCCCGGGGCUCAACCCCGGAACGGCACCCGAUACUGGUUGGCUUGAGACCGGGAGAGGAGGGUGGAAUAUCCAGUGUAGAGGUGAAAUUCGUAGAUAUUGGAUGGAACACCAGUGGCGAAAGCGGCUCUCUGGCCCGGAUCUGACGCUGAGGCGCGAAAGCGUGGGGAGCAAACAGG
This 253-nucleotide ribosomal RNA is filed under the name uncultured bacterium. RNAcentral describes it as "partial 16S ribosomal RNA". It matches the Rfam family "Bacterial small subunit ribosomal RNA", at positions 524 to 776 of the family's 1533-position model. The record is from RNAcentral.